GCCUACGGGGGGCAGCAGUGAGGAAUAUUGGUCAAUGGUCGGGAGACUGAACCAGCCAAGCCGCGUGAGGGAGGAAGGUACAGAGUAUCGUAAACCUCUUUUGUCAGGGAACAAAGGCGGGGACGUGUCCCCGGAUGAGUGUACCUGAAGAAAAAGCAUCGGCUAACUCCGUGCCAGCAGCCGCGGUAAUACGGAGGAUGCGAGCGUUAUCCGGACUUAUUGGGUCUAAAGGGUGCGCAGGCGGUCUGUUAAGUCAGCGGUCAAAGCCCGGGGCUCAACCCCGGCCCGCCGCUGAAACUGGCAGG
This 305-nucleotide ribosomal RNA is filed under the name uncultured bacterium. RNAcentral's name for it is "bacterial SSU rRNA". It matches the Rfam family "Bacterial small subunit ribosomal RNA", at positions 337 to 640 of the family's 1533-position model. The record is from RNAcentral.